Molecule: long non-coding RNA, 446 nt
Organism: Hylaeus anthracinus
Lineage: Eukaryota; Metazoa; Arthropoda; Insecta; Hymenoptera; Colletidae
Exons: 2
Source: RefSeq, a predicted model, not a curated record
AAAGACUUUGGUACCUUUGGUUGCACAUAUUUCUGAAAAAACCAGUCAUAGUAACGAUAUUGUGCAACGUACUCGUAGACAAUGGGAGAUACUCACAAGGCAUGGACUUUGAGCCAUGAACAGGAUGCUAUAAAGGGACCAGUACUGCCACCUGCAGGAGGACGCCGAAGGCGUAGCAAUUCGUGUUCCAAGAUUCAAGAUGGACAAACGUGACUCUCUCCGUCUUCGAGUGAACAUAAUACCAAUUUUGACGCAGAUACACCUCCGAUGAAACGAUUUAAGGGAUCCAGAUUGGAUUAAGGUAUAAUAAAUCUGAAAAGUAUUACAUUGAAAUUUCAACAGCUGAGUUGAUCGUAAACGUAAUAUAGGGUGUCCCAAAAAUGUUGGAGGUCCUUGAAAGGGGUGGUUCGGGAGGUGAUUUGAAACAACUUUUUCCUUUGCAAAAA